Molecule: ribosomal RNA, 250 nt
Filed under: uncultured archaeon
Lineage: Archaea
Also listed under: 1 other name
Description: partial 16S ribosomal RNA
Rfam family: Archaeal small subunit ribosomal RNA
Source: RNAcentral
CACCGGCAGCUCAAGUGGUAGCCAUUUUUAUUGGGCCUAAAGCGUUCGUAGCCGGUUUGAUAAGUCUCUGGUGAAAUCCCACAGCUUAACUGUGGGAAUUGCUGGAGAUACUAUUAGACUUGGGGUUGGGAGAGGUUAGCGGUACUCCCAGGGUAGGGGUGAAAUCCUGUAAUCCUGGGAGGACCACCUGUGGCGAAGGCGUCCAGCUGGAACGAACCUGACGGUGAGGGACGAAAGCCAGGGGCGCGAA